AAGAGGAAGCACCCAUGCAUCACAGAUGCAUAUUAAAAUGGUGCUGACGAAGGUAUUGUUU
RNAcentral lists this small RNA (61 nucleotides) under Coprococcus sp. CAG:782. Its description in RNAcentral is "GA-cis RNA". It matches the Rfam family "GA-cis RNA". The record is from Rfam by way of RNAcentral. Lineage: Bacteria; Bacillati; Bacillota; Clostridia; Lachnospirales; Lachnospiraceae.